AGAGUUUGAUCCUGGCUCAGGACGAACGCUGGCGGCGUGCUUAACACAUGCAAGUCUACGAGAAAAGGGUAGCAAUAUCCUUAGUAAAGUGGCGCACGGGUGAGUAAUAUGUAAGUAAUCUACCUAUAGAUUUGGAAUAAUCCUUCGAAAGGGGGACUAAUACCGAAUGAUGCAGCGGCAUCGCAUGGUGAUGUUGUUAAAGUUGCAGCAAUGUAACGUCUAUAGAUGAGCUUGCAUCUGAUUAGCUAGUUGGUAAGGUAAAGGCUUACCAAGGCUACGAUCAGUAGCUGGUCUGAGAGGAUGAUCAGCCACACUGGAACUGAGACACGGUCCAGACUCCUACGGGAGGCAGCAGUGAGGAAUAUUGGGCAAUGCCCGCAAGGGUGACCCAGCAACGCCGCGUGAAGGAUGAAUGCCGUAAGGUUGUAAACUUCUGUGAGAAGGGAAGAAAAAUCAGAUUUCGUAAGGGAUCUGACUUGACUGUACCUUCAGAGGAAACCCCGGCUAACUACGUGCCAGCAGCCGCGGUAAUACGUAGGGGGUUAGCGUUGUCCGGAUUUACUGGGUAUAAAGGGCGCGUAGGCGGGUUUGUAAGUCAGUGGUGAAAUCCUACAGCUUAACUGUAGAACUGCCUUUGAUACUGCAAAUCUUGAGUUCAGAAGAGAGAGAUGGAAUUCCAGGUGUAGUGGUGAAAUACGUAGAUAUCUGGAAGAACACCAGUGGCGAAGGCGAUCUCUUGGUCUGUAACUGACGCUGAGGCGCGAAAGCGUGGGUAGCAAACAGGAUUAGAUACCCUGGUAGUCCACGCUGUAAACGAUGAAUACUAGAUGUUGGUGUCAUAGACAUCAGUGUCGCAGCAAACGCAUUAAGUAUUCCACCUGGGGAGUACGAUCGCAAGGUUGAAACUCAAAGGAAUUGAUGG
This 922-nucleotide ribosomal RNA is filed under the name uncultured bacterium. RNAcentral describes it as "bacterial SSU rRNA". It matches the Rfam family "Bacterial small subunit ribosomal RNA", at positions 8 to 916 of the family's 1533-position model. The record is from RNAcentral.